Molecule: ribosomal RNA, 465 nt
Filed under: uncultured bacterium
Lineage: Bacteria
Description: partial 16S ribosomal RNA
Rfam family: Bacterial small subunit ribosomal RNA
Source: RNAcentral
GACGAACGCUGGCGGCGUGCUUAACACAUGCAAGUCGAAUGGAAAGGCCCCUUUGGGGGUACUCGAGUGGCGAACGGGUGAGUAACACGUGAGUAACCUGCCCUUGACUUCGGGAUAACUUCAGGAAACUGGGGCUAAUACCGGAUAGGAAUCCUUGCUGCAUGGUGGGGGUUGGAAAGCUUCGGCGGUUUUGGAUGGACUCGCGGCUUAUCAGCUUGUUGGUGGGGUAGUGGCUUACCAAGGCUUUGACGGGUAGCCGGCCUGAGAGGGCGACCGGCCACAGUGGGACUGAGAUACGGCCCAGACGCCUACGGGAGGCAGCAGUGGGGAAUAUUGCACAAUGGGCGGAAGCCUGAUGCAGCAACGCCGCGUGCGGGAUGACGGCCUUCGGGUUGUAAACCGCUUUCAGCAGGGGCGAAGCUUGUGGUGACGGUACCUGCAGAAGAAGCACCGGCUAACUACGUG